This is a long non-coding RNA of Gallus gallus (chicken), 1449 nucleotides long. RefSeq lists it as uncharacterized. The record is from RefSeq and is a predicted model, not a curated record. NCBI's taxonomy places the organism in Eukaryota, Metazoa, Chordata, Aves, Galliformes, Phasianidae. The transcript has 3 exons.
AUUCUGAAGACUUCAGCUCUGAAGUUGCUGCCAUUUUAGUUGUGGGUUUUGUGGUGUGUGAUUUUUGAUCUUUGUGGUUUAGUGGUGGCUUUUGUUGUUGUCUUAUGACUGUCACAAUAGAAAUAAGCAGUCCACAGCCAUGAACCACCAAGGAAAGGAGGAAUGCUGUAAGAGACGCUCCCUUCACAGAAUACCAGGUUUGGGGUAUCUUUCCUCCUAGCAUUCUUUUCUGCAUUUCGGCUGAAUCUUUGCCACAUUGAGUGCAUUCAGAUUUCUAGGCAGACCCAGCAUUCACAUCUAGAUAUGUGUUUUCCCUGUAAAACAUAGAAUGUGCCUUAAGGGGUGCCGGGGUAGCUGACCUAUGCCCUCGCAGCCUUAUUCCUUGGUUUGAACUUUGAGAGCCUGUAACUCAAUGAUCCCUGUGGUUCUCUUCCAGCAUCAGACAAGAGAUUCACCCUUGCAGCGCAGAGGUGAUCAACAUGGGUUUCACCUGUCUGUGGGUACUGUGCCUCAUCUGAUGAGAGCACUGACCUAAUAAAUGGGAUUCUGGGGUCACAGAAUCACGGAACUGUAGAGGCUGGAAGGGGCCUCUAGGAAUCAUCGAGUCCAACCCUCCUACCUAAGCAGGCUCUCUAGACCAGAUUGCACAGGUCAGCUCCCAACAUUGGCUGAGUCUCAUCUAUAUUAAGGAAAGUUGAGCUCCGUGGGGAUCUGAAGUGCUUGCUGUGUUGUGCUGAGCGCUCCUGUGACUCAAGAGUCAUCAAAGUGCUCUCCAAAAAAGGAAUUUGUCCCCACUUUGUAUCUGAGAGAGAGGUAUUGCAUUACCUCUGCUUUGAAAAUGAGGAAGAAAGCGAUUAUGUGAUUCACCUUAAUUGCACGGGAAGCCACUUGGUCUUGUCCUAAUGUUACUGCUGAUCCCACAGGCUUGUCAGGAGGCUAAAAUUGGAUGCUUCUCUGAUCCGUGGAGACAAAAACGUGCUCUCUGACCCCCACGGAUCAGUGCUGUUCAUCAUCACAGCUGCUGCAGUUGUUCAGUGGGAGUGCUGAGGAUGGCCAUGACAUGCUGCUAGUUGCUCAAUCGCAAUUAAAGCGGGUUCGUCAGGUAUUGCUCAUCUGGCAAGUGCCUGAUGGGAGAUGGCUGUGCACUGACCUUUCAAGAUCGCAUCACUGCUUUGCGUGCUUGAAAAUAAGUGAAAAACAAAAUGCAGUUUAGGAAGCAGUUGUGAUAUGUGGCAAACCUCCCACUGAGCCUCACCUCAAAUUUCUUGUGACUUUCCUUGUUCUUAAUAACCAGCAAAUAGGGAGCAUAGCUCACAGUGCAAAGGGUUCCCUCUUUCCCUCUCAUUCUAUAGCAUGUACAGUUCUGAAUCAUAACGUGGCCUGGGUUGAAAAGGACCCCAAUAAUCAUCUCGUUUCAACGUCCCUGCUAUAUGUAGGGUGGCCAACCAC